This 472-nucleotide ribosomal RNA is filed under the name uncultured bacterium. RNAcentral's name for it is "partial 16S ribosomal RNA". It matches the Rfam family "Bacterial small subunit ribosomal RNA", at positions 28 to 507 of the family's 1533-position model. The record is from RNAcentral.
GACUAACGCUGGCGGCGUGCUUAACACAUGCAAGUCGAACGCUGAAGCUUGGUGCUUGCACUGGGUGGAUGAGUGGCGAACGGGUGAGUAAUACGUGAGUAACCUGCCCUUGACUCUGGGAUAAGCCUGGGAAACUGGGUCUAAUACUGGAUACGACAUGCCACUGCAUGGUGGUGUGUGGAAAGGGUUUUACUGGUUUUGGAUGGGCUCACGGCCUAUCAGCUUGUUGGUGGGGUAAUGGCCUACCAAGGCGACGACGGGUAGCCGGCCUGAGAGGGUGACCGGCCACACUGGGACUGAGACACGGCCCAGACUCCUACGGGAGGCAGCAGUGGGGAAUAUUGCACAAUGGGCGGAAGCCUGAUGCAGCGACGCCGCGUGAGGGAUGACGGCCUUCGGGUUGUAAACCUCUUUCAGCACGGAAGAAGCGAGAGUGACGGUACGUGCAGAAGAAGCGCCGGCUAACUACGUG